CUGCCUCCAGCCGCUGCGCCGCGUCCCGCCGUCCGCCCGCGCCCCGGACCUGCCGCGGUCGCCAUGGCCCAGCUGCUUCCUGAAACCUUUUUUACCCAGUGAUGGCUGACAAUUUUCAAUCAAUUCCUUUCAAUUAUGCAGGUAACCGGCAGCAUGAAUGAACAAAAUGUUUCAAUGGCGGGCAUUAAUAAUUUUAAAGAAUGGACACAUAGCGAGGCCCUUGUGUACGCCAAGCCUUGGCGAAUGGUGCCUUUGUUACGAAAUUAUGU
Molecule: long non-coding RNA, 269 nt
Organism: Talpa occidentalis (Iberian mole)
Lineage: Eukaryota; Metazoa; Chordata; Mammalia; Eulipotyphla; Talpidae
Exons: 3
Source: RefSeq, a predicted model, not a curated record